This 433-nucleotide ribosomal RNA is filed under the name uncultured bacterium. RNAcentral describes it as "bacterial SSU rRNA". It matches the Rfam family "Bacterial small subunit ribosomal RNA", at positions 29 to 507 of the family's 1533-position model. The record is from RNAcentral.
AACGAACGCUGGCGGCAGGCCUAACACAUGCAAGUCGAACGCUUCAGCAAUGAAGAGUGGCAGACGGGUGAGUAACGCGUGGGAACCUUCCCAGUGGUACGGAAUAGCCCAGGGAAACUUGGGAUAAUACCGUAUAAGCCCUUCGGGGGAAAGAUUUAUCGCCAUUGGAUGGGCCCGCGUCGGAUUAGCUUGUUGGUGAGGUAAAAGCUCACCAAGGCGACGAUCCGUAGCUGGUCUGAGAGGAUGAUCAGCCACACUGGGACUGAGACACGGCCCAGACUCCUACGGGAGGCAGCAGUGGGGAAUAUUGGACAAUGGGCGCAAGCCUGAUCCAGCCAUGCCGCGUGAGUGACGAAGGCCUUAGGGUUGUAAAGCUCUUUUGGCGGGGACGAUAAUGACGGUACCCGCAGAAUAAGCUCCGGCUAACUUCGUG